Molecule: ribosomal RNA, 405 nt
Filed under: uncultured bacterium
Lineage: Bacteria
Description: bacterial SSU rRNA
Rfam family: Bacterial small subunit ribosomal RNA
Source: RNAcentral
CAGGGAAUCUUGCGCAAUGGGCGAAAGCCUGACGCAGCGACGCCGCGUGGAGGAAGACGGUUUUCGGAUUGUAAACUCCUUUUCUGGAGGAAGAGAAUGGACGGUACUUCAGGAAUAAGCCCCGGCUAACUACGUGCCAGCAGCCGCGGUAAGACGUAGGGGGCAAGCGUUGUUCGGAUUUAUUGGGCGUAAAGGGCAUGUAGGCGGAUAAGAAAGUCCACGGUGAAAGAUCUCGGCUUAACCGAGGGGUAUUCGUGGAAACUUCUUGUCUUGAGGGCAGCAGAGGCGAGUGGAAUUCCCGGAGUAGCGGUGAAAUGCGUAGAUUUCGGGAGGAACACCAGUGGCGAAGGCGACUCGCUGGGCUGUUUCUGACGCUGAGGUGCUAAAGCGUGGGGAGCGAACCGG